CUCGUAGGCGGCUUGUCACGUCUGCUGUGAAAACGCGGGGCUUAACUCCGCGCGUGCAGUGGGUACGGGCAGGCUAGAGUGUGGUAGGGGUGACUGGAAUUCCUGGUGUAGCGGUGGAAUGCGCAGAUAUCGGGAGGAACACCAGUGGCGAAGGCGGCCUACUGGGCACCAACUGACGCUGAGGCUCGAAAGUGUGGGUAGCAAACA
Molecule: ribosomal RNA, 207 nt
Filed under: uncultured bacterium
Lineage: Bacteria
Description: partial 16S ribosomal RNA
Rfam family: Bacterial small subunit ribosomal RNA
Source: RNAcentral